Molecule: ribosomal RNA, 460 nt
Filed under: uncultured bacterium
Lineage: Bacteria
Description: partial 16S ribosomal RNA
Rfam family: Bacterial small subunit ribosomal RNA
Source: RNAcentral
CCUACGGGUGGCAGCAGUGAGGAAUAUUGGUCAAUGGACGAGAGUCUGAACCAGCCAAGUAGCGUGAAGGAUGACUGCCCUGAGGGUUGUAAACUUCUUUUAUAAAGGAAUAAAACGAGGCACGUGUGCCUUUUUGCAUGUACUUUAUGAAUAAGGAUCGGCUAACUCCGUGCCAGCAGCCGCGGUAAUACGGAGGAUCCGAGCGUUAUCCGGAUUUAUUGGGUUUAAAGGGAGCGUAGAUGGGUUGUUAAGUCAGUUGUGAAAGUUUGCGGCUCAACCGUAAAAUUGCAAUUGAUACUGGCAGUCGUGAGUACAGUUGAGGUAGGCGGAAUGCGUGGUGUAGCGGUGAAAUGCUUAGAUAUCACGAAGAACCCCGAUUGCGAAGGCAGCUUACUAAACUGUGACUGACAUUGAUGCUCGAAAGUGUGGGUAUCAAACAGGAUUAGAUACCCUAGUAGUC